Long non-coding RNA from Sitodiplosis mosellana (orange wheat blossom midge), 992 nucleotides. RefSeq lists it as uncharacterized. Lineage: Eukaryota; Metazoa; Arthropoda; Insecta; Diptera; Cecidomyiidae. The transcript is spliced from 3 exons. The record is from RefSeq and is a predicted model, not a curated record.
UCUAUUGUAUAUCCAAAAUGUCUUCAACUCAGAAGAAAUGUGUUUAAAAUGGUCGUGGUCGCUGGCCUGCGAAAUGCAAUACACCAUUUUGUCAACCGCAUUGCUGUUCAUUUAUGCAAAAUAUCCAAAUGCAGCAAAGCUAAUGUUCUGUUCGCUAUUUGCGAUAUGCGUUGGUUUGCUCUUUUCAGUCGUUAUCUUUACAAAAUGCAUAUUCACCUAUGAUGUUCUUCAUUCAUUGUUCACUGAAAUGUAUAUUGCACCGUGGACACGAGUCCUUCCGUACCUUGUCGGAGUUGCAGCUGGCUAUGUCAUGUACAUGAUGAAGGGUAAAUUGCCCUUGGGUGAAGUAAGUGGUUUACCAGAAUAUUGACAAUUUUUGUAACGAAACAUUUUUUUGAAAAUUUUCUUCUAAGAAAACCAUCAAAAUAACUUGGAUCAUGAUGAUAACAAUUCUUAUUCUUUGCCAUAAAUCGACAAUAAACCCUGACACAUCGUAUGUUACGACCGCGUUUGCGAUUACAAUCAUGCGUAUUUUGUAUCCGGCGUCAAUAUCAUGGAUGAUUCUGGCCAGUCAUGCAGGAUAUGGUGGCCGCUUUGCCAAGUUUCUAAACCAUCCAAUUUUCGUGCACAUCAACAAAUUGUCGUAUGGAAUUUAUUUGCUAAAUCCAGUCGUUAUCAUUUUGGUAUAUGGAUGGCAAGAUCACAGCACGCAUAUCGAUCCAGUUUCAAUGGUGGUAAUGAUAACUGGAAUUACCGUCUUCGUUUACCUAACGGCGGUGGUGUUUUCACUCAUGUUCGAAAUACCAUACACAAACCUUUCGGCAAAAAUUUUGGGUCAAUCAUCAUUAAAACGGGAAAUGGUGACGUUUUCAUCAAAAUCAACCGAAUUGAUUGGAACGAAGAAAAUGCUUUGAUGGAAAAUCCGGUGGAGUUUGGUAUGAUUCAUGGAGACUCAGGAUUCGACUCGAGUCCAGCGCAUUCCGUUCUUGUGU